RNAcentral lists this long non-coding RNA (1152 nucleotides) under Mytilus galloprovincialis (Mediterranean mussel). The record is from RNAcentral. Lineage: Eukaryota; Metazoa; Mollusca; Bivalvia; Mytilida; Mytilidae.
GGAAAGAGUUUUUUUUAAUUAAAUGUAAUUUUAUUUCAGAUUUUUAUUGAUAUUGUGUACAUUUGAUGAUUGUUGUGUAAUAUGUAAUUUGUUUUCAGGAAAAUUAUUUGUAAAAUAGCGCUAUAUGAACAUUCGUCCCGCAGAGAAUAUUUGAUGGUGCUCUAUAAACAUUUGUCAGAAUACACAGAAUUAUUUCUGAUGCGAGAACAUGCAUAACGCGAAGUAGAAGUGUUGCUGCUUAAUGAACAUUCGUCUAGAACGUCAAGUGAAGAAGAUUUGUCAGUGCUCUAUAUAAACAUUUGUUAAAAUAAGCAGAACUCGUAUUUUAUGAACUUUCGUAAUGAGAAGAAGAUGUGUUGGUGUUUUAUGAACAUUUGUCAAGUGAAGAAGAUAUGUCUGUGCUCUAUAAACAUUCGUUAAAAUAAACAGAACUCGUGUUUUAUGAACAAUCGUCAUGUGAAGAAGAGAUGUUGGUGCUAUAUGAACAUUUACAAAAUUAAAAGAUCAUAAAGAACUGUGCGGAAGUCAAACUUUGCGGGAAGACGAAAAUGAACAAUGUACACUCAGAAGAUUGUAUUUAUAUUUGAUCAAAUAUUGUUUUAUAAUUUUGAAUAUGUAUGCUAUAGAAUAUUUUAAUGAAAAAUAUUGGAGAACUUGUUUUAAAUUUUAGGGAAUGGCUAUUCAUGUUUGAGGGCAAACAUUAUUUUUCAAAGGUGGGGAGAGUGUAACAAAAUGGGGGUUCUUUGAAAUGGAACUUGUUUUCCCUAAAAUUGUGUGAUGAUGUUGUUAAAACCUUACCGUUUAUUGACUGUUUUUAUUUUAUAUUUCUUGUACAACUUUGUGUAAACAUUGUUAACUUUUUAUUAUUCUUAACGUCCAUGUUUUGAAUUUAUAUUCGGAACUCCCCUCGAUUGUUCAUGUCAAAUGAAGUACAUAAACGUUUACCAAUCGUUCCGAACAUUAUUUUUGGUAAUUACCAAUUCCGGUUUUGGUAAUUUAGGUAUUUUACCUAAAUGGUAAAUGGUAAACCAUUUCGGUAAAUGGUAAACCAUUUCGGUAAAUGGUUUACCAAAGUAUAAAUACUGAGGAGAGAAAGGAGAAGGCUUCAGUACGACUUUACCCUGGGCAAGUGACACACGCUAAUUCCAAGCG